Oncorhynchus tshawytscha (Chinook salmon) is the source of this 456-nucleotide long non-coding RNA. The record is from Ensembl. NCBI's taxonomy places the organism in Eukaryota, Metazoa, Chordata, Actinopteri, Salmoniformes, Salmonidae.
GCUGGUCCAUGUUGACUCUACAAGGUGUUGUAAGCGUUCCACAGGGAUGCUGGUCCAUGUUGACUCUACAAGGUGUUGAAAGCGUUCCACAGGGAUGCUGGUCCAUGUUGACUCUACAAGGUGUUGAAAGCGUUCCACAGGGAUGCUGGCCCAUGUUGACUCUACAAGGUGUUGAAAGCGUUCCACAGGGAUGCUGGCCCAUGUUGACUCUACAAGGUGUUGAAAGCGUUCCACAGGGAUGCUGGUCCAUGUUGACUCUACAAGGUGUUGAAAGCGUUCCACAGGGAUGCUGGUCCAUGUUGACUCUACAAGGUGUUGAAAGCGUUCCACAGGGAUGCUGGUCCAUGUUGACUCUACAAGGUGUUGAAAGCAGGGAUACUGGUCCAUGUUGACUCUACAAGGUGUUGAAAGCAGGGAUACUGGCCCAUGUUGACUCUACAAGGUGUUGAAAGCAGG